Molecule: ribosomal RNA, 497 nt
Filed under: uncultured bacterium
Lineage: Bacteria
Description: partial 16S ribosomal RNA
Rfam family: Bacterial small subunit ribosomal RNA
Source: RNAcentral
GAUGAACGCUGGCGGCGUGCCUAAUACAUGCAAGUCGAGCGAACAGACGAGGAGCUUGCUCCUCUGACGUUAGCGGCGGACGGGUGAGUAACACGUGGAUAACCUACCUAUAAGACUGGGAUAACUUCGGGAAACCGGAGCUAAUACCGGAUAAUAUAUUGAACCGCAUGGUUCAAUAGUGAAAGACGGUUUUGCUGUCACUUAUAGAUGGAUCCGCGCCGCAUUAGCUAGUUGGUAAGGUAACGGCUUACCAAGGCAACGAUGCGUAGCCGACCUGAGAGGGUGAUCGGCCACACGGGAACUGAGACACGGUCCAGACUCCUACGGGAGGCCGCAGUAGGGAAUCUUCCGCAAUGGGCGAAAGCUUGACGGAGCAACGCCGCGUGAGUGAUGAAGGUCUUCGGAUCGUAAAACUCUGUUAUUAGGGAAGAACAAAUGUGUAAGUAACUAUGCACGUCUUGACGGUACCUAAUCAGAAAGCCACGGCUAACUACGUG